AGCGUUAUCCGGAAUUAUUGGGCGUAAAGGGUGUGUAGGUUGUUUUGUUAGUCUUCUGUCAAAUCCCCGGGCUCAACCUGGGAACCGCGGAAGAAACGGCAAAACUAGAAAGUGUGAGAGGCGUACGGAACUCAUGGUGUNNNNNNNNNNNCGUUGAUAUCAUGGGGAACACCAAAAGCGAAGGCAGUACACUGGCGCAUUUCUGACACUGAGACACGAAAGCGUGGGUAGCGAAUGGGAUUAGAUACCCCAGUAGUCCACGCCCUAAACGAUGAUCUCUCGCUUUUCGGAGUAUCGACCCUCUGAGAGGCGAAGCUAACGCGUUAAGAGAUCCGCCUGGGAAGUACGGCCGCAAGGCUAAAACUCAAAGGAAUAGACGGGGACUUGCACAAGCAGUGGAUUAUGUGGUUUAAUUCGAUGGUAAACGAAGAACCUUACCAAGGUUAGAAAUCAUGUUGCAAUCCUUUGGAAACAUUGGACCUCGCAAGACAGCAUGACAGGUGAUGCAUGGCCGUCGUCAGUUCGUGGUUUGAAUUGUACCCUUAAGUGGGCUAACGAACGCAACCCUCGUUGUGUGUUACAAGUGUCACACGAUACUGCCCAGCCCCAAUUUUGCGAUAAUAUUGUUCAUUUUUCGUAAUAUUACGCGAAACGCACUUUUGAAAAUAAAUUUUUGUCUUUUAGACAAAAAUUUGAGUUCAAAUUAGUGGCAAAAUUGGGGCUGGGAGGAAGGAGAGGAUGACGCCAGGUCAGCAUGUCCCUUGAUACCUUGGGCUACACACAUAAUACAAUGGCCGUUACAACGCGCAGCGACGAGGCGACUCUGAGCUAAUCGUUUAAAAGCGGCCUCAGUUCGGAUUGGAGUCUGCAACUCGACUCCAUGAAGCUGGAAUUGCUAGUAAUCGCGGGUCAGCUAUACCGCGGUGAAUACGUUCUCAAGUCUUGUACUCACCGCCCGUCAAGUCAAGGGAGCCGGGAGUACCCGAAGUCUCUACAUAAGUAGGGCCUAAGGUAAGCUUGGUGACAGGGACUAAGUCGUAACAAGGCACGGCUAGCGGAAGCUGGUCGUG
RNAcentral lists this ribosomal RNA (1070 nucleotides) under freshwater metagenome. RNAcentral's name for it is "bacterial SSU rRNA". It matches the Rfam family "Bacterial small subunit ribosomal RNA", at positions 537 to 1520 of the family's 1533-position model. The record is from RNAcentral.